CAGGCGAUAAAUCAUUCAAGUUUCUGACCUAUCAGCUUUCGACGGUAUGGUAUUGGCUUACCGUGGCAGUGACGGUUAACGGGGGAUUAGGGUUCGAUUCCGGAGAGGGAGCCUGAGAAACGGCUACCACAUCUAAGGAAGGCAGCAGGCGCGCAAAUUACCCAAUUCUAACAGUUUGAGAGAGGUAGUAACAAGAAAUAACAAUACAAGGCAGUUAAAAUGCUUUGUAAUUGGAAUGAUAGAAAUUUAAACCCUUUUUAAAGUAUCAAUUGGAGGGCAAGUCUGGUGCCAGCAGCCGCGGUAAUUCCAGCUCCAAUAGCGUAUAUUAAAAUUGUUGCAGUUAAAAAGCUCGUAGUUGAAGUUCUGCUAAAAGUAACCGGUCUGCUUUUAAUAAAGGUGGUAUCUUGGUGUGUAUUUAGCAAUGAUGUCCUUUGAAGUGUUUUUUACUUUAUUGUAAUAAAGCAUAUUCAGGACUUUUACUUUGAGAAAAUUAGAGU
RNAcentral lists this ribosomal RNA (497 nucleotides) under Hepatozoon canis. RNAcentral's name for it is "bacterial SSU rRNA". It matches the Rfam family "Eukaryotic small subunit ribosomal RNA", at positions 284 to 772 of the family's 1831-position model. Lineage: Eukaryota; Apicomplexa; Hepatozoidae. The record is from RNAcentral.